Molecule: ribosomal RNA, 445 nt
Filed under: uncultured Prevotella sp.
Lineage: Bacteria; Pseudomonadati; Bacteroidota; Bacteroidia; Bacteroidales; Prevotellaceae
Description: bacterial SSU rRNA
Rfam family: Bacterial small subunit ribosomal RNA
Source: RNAcentral
UGAGGGAAUAUUGGGUCAAUGGCCGCAAGGCUGAACCAGCCAAGUAGCGUGCAGGAUGACGGCCCUCGGGUUGUAAACUGCUUUUAGUCGGGAAUAAAAGGGCGCACGUGUGCGCCGUAUUGCAAGUACCGUCAGAAAAAGGACCGGCUAAUUCCGUGCCAGCAGCCGCGGUAAUACGGAAGGUCCGGGCGUUAUCCGGAUUUAUUGGGUUUAAAGGGAGCGCAGGCCGUGGGUUAAGCGUGUCGUGAAAUUCCGUCGCUCAACGGCGGACGUGCGGCGCGAACUGGUCCACUUGAGUACGCGGGACGUUGGCGGAAUUCGUGGUGUAGCGGUGAAAUGCUUGGAUAUCACGAAGAACUCCGAUUGCGAAGGCAGCUGACGGUAGCGCAACUGACGCUGAGGCUCGAAAGUGCGGGUAUCGAACAGGAUUAGAUACCCUGGUAGU